GGGUUCGACUCCGGAGAGGGAGCCUGAGAAACGGCUACCACAUCCAAGGAAGGCAGCAGGCGCGCAAAUUACCCAAUCCCGAUACGGGGAGGUAGUGACAAGAAAUACCGAUUCAGGAUCUUAUUGGAUCUUGAGAUUGGAAUGAGUACAAUUCAAACCCAUUAACGAGGAACAACUAGAGGGCAAGUCUGGUGCCAGCAGCCGCGGUAAUUCCAGCUCUAGUAGCGUAUAUUAAAAUUGUUGCAGUUAAAACGCUCGUAGUUGAACUUUGGGCUUGGCUGGCUGGUCCGCCUCACCGCGAGCACUGGUCCGGCUGGGCCUUUCCUCUUGGGGAUCCACAUGCCCUUCACUUGGGUGUGUUGGGGAACCAGGACUUUUACUUUGAAAAAAUUAGGGUGUUCAAAGCAGGCAUUUGCUCGAAUACAUUAGCAUGGGAUAAUAGAAUAGGACGUGUGGUCUUAUUUUGUUGGUUUCUAGGACCGCCGUAAUGAUUGAUAGGGAUAGUUGGGGGCAUCGGUAUUCAAUUGUCAGAG
Molecule: ribosomal RNA, 533 nt
Filed under: Hesperomyces harmoniae
Lineage: Eukaryota; Fungi; Ascomycota; Laboulbeniomycetes; Laboulbeniales; Laboulbeniaceae
Description: SSU rRNA
Rfam family: Eukaryotic small subunit ribosomal RNA
Source: RNAcentral